Molecule: transfer RNA, 72 nt
Filed under: Endomicrobium sp.
Lineage: Bacteria; Pseudomonadati; Elusimicrobiota; Endomicrobiia; Endomicrobiales; Endomicrobiaceae
Description: tRNA-Val
Rfam family: tRNA
About the family: Transfer RNA (tRNA) molecules are approximately 80 nucleotides in length. Their secondary structure includes four short double-helical elements and three loops (D, anti-codon, and T loops).
Source: RNAcentral
GGGUAGUUAGCUCAGCGGAAGAGCACCCGUCUCACACGCGAGUGGCCGCAGGUUCGAGCCCUGCACUACCCA